RNAcentral lists this ribosomal RNA (253 nucleotides) under uncultured bacterium. Its description in RNAcentral is "partial 16S ribosomal RNA". It matches the Rfam family "Bacterial small subunit ribosomal RNA", at positions 524 to 776 of the family's 1533-position model. The record is from RNAcentral.
UACGUAGGGUGCAAGCGUUAAUCGGAAUUACUGGGCGUAAAGCGUGCGCAGGCGGUUCCAUAAGACAGAUGUGAAAUCCCCGGGCUCAACCUGGGAGCUGCAUUUGUGACUGUGGAGCUAGAGUACGGUAGAGGGGGAUGGAAUUCCGCGUGUAGCAGUGAAAUGCGUAGAUAUGCGGAGGAACACCAAUGGCGAAGGCAAUCCCCUGGACCUGUACUGACGCUCAUGCACGAAAGCGUGGGGAGCAAACAGG